This is a long non-coding RNA of Anguilla rostrata (American eel), 427 nucleotides long. RefSeq lists it as uncharacterized. The transcript is spliced from 2 exons. The record is from RefSeq and is a predicted model, not a curated record. NCBI's taxonomy places the organism in Eukaryota, Metazoa, Chordata, Actinopteri, Anguilliformes, Anguillidae.
GUUAAUUAGGGCAUCUACUUUGUUCACAUCAGAGGUCAUUUUAAAACAAUCGAUUAGAGACAGAUUUAUUUCAGCUUUAAUUCACUAUAUCAGAAUUCCAGUGGGUCAAAAGUUUACAUACACCAAAUUGACUGUCUCUUUAAACUGUCUGGAAGAUUACAAAAAUUGAUGUAAUAACUUUUUAGAAGCUUCUGAUUGGCCAAUUGUCAUAAUUAGGAGUUAAUUGGGAGAUACAGUGGGCUCCAGAAUUAUUGGCACCCUUGAUAAAUAUGCACAAAAAAUGCUAAAGAAAAAAAAAAUGCUAAACUAAAAAAUAAUGCAUUUAUUGACAUAAGCUUUAUUUUCCAACAUGUGUAAACUAGUGUGCUUGAUUAAUGAUUCAUUGGAAUCAACCAAAGUCUUAAAUUUUUUAAAUAAAAAAAAUAUU